This is a non-coding RNA of Pelobates cultripes (western spadefoot toad), 204 nucleotides long. Lineage: Eukaryota; Metazoa; Chordata; Amphibia; Anura; Pelobatidae. The record is from the annotation of a GenBank genome assembly.
CUGAGCCUGUCCUGAUAACGUGCGGUCAGAUCCCCUACAUUAGCUAUAACCCAGCGCUGUCUGAGCCUGUCCUGAUAAUGUGCAGUCAGAUCCCCUACAUUAGAUAUAAACCCAGCGCUGUCUGAGCCUGUCCUGAUAACGUACAGUCAGAUCCCCUACAUUAGAUAUAAACCCAGCGCUGUCUGAGCCUGUCCUGAUAACGUG